RNAcentral lists this ribosomal RNA (1254 nucleotides) under uncultured Enterobacter sp. Its description in RNAcentral is "partial 16S ribosomal RNA". It matches the Rfam family "Bacterial small subunit ribosomal RNA", at positions 75 to 1328 of the family's 1533-position model. Lineage: Bacteria; Pseudomonadati; Pseudomonadota; Gammaproteobacteria; Enterobacterales; Enterobacteriaceae. The record is from RNAcentral.
GUUAACAGUAGCAUACUGAGUGGCUGACGGGGUAUAACAUGUGGGAAUCUGCCUUGUUGGUUCACGUGACAACAUUGUGGAAACCUGAUGCUAAGUACUGGAUAAGCCCUUACGGGGUAAAGUCUUAAUGCCAUAAGAUGAGCCCGCAUUAGAUUAGCUAGUAGGUGGGGUAACGGCUCACCUAGGCGACGAUCCCUAGCUGGUCUGAGAGGAUGACCAGCCACACUGGAACUGAGACACGGUCCAGACUCCUACGGGAGGCAGCAGUGGGGAAUAUUGCACAAUGGGCGCAAGCCUGAUGCAGCAGUGCCGCGUGUAUGAAGAAGGCCUUCGGGUUGUAAAGUACUUUCAGCGGGGAGGAAGGUGUUGUGGUUAAUAACCACAGAAUUGACGUUACCCGUAGAAUAAGCACCGGCUAACUCCGUGCCAGCACCCGCGGUAAUACGGAGGGUGCAAGCGUUAAUCGGAAUUACUGGGCGUAAAGCGCACGCAGGCGGUCUGUCAAGCUCUGUCAACCUGGAACUGAAAUCCCCGGGCUCAACGUGGGAACGCAAUCGAACUGCAGGGCUAGAAUCUGUAGAGGGGGUAGAAUUCAGGUGUAACGGUGAAAUGCGUAGAGAUCCGGAGGAAUACCGAUGGCGAAGGCGGCCCCCUGGACCAAGACUGACGCUCAGGUGCGAAGCGUGGGGAGCAAACAGGAUUAGAUAACCUGGUAGUCCACGCCGUAAACGAUGAGGACUAGCCCUUGGGUCCUAUUUUGGAUUUAAGUGGCGCAGCUAACGCGUUAAGUUCUCCGCCUGGGGAGUACGGCCGCAAGGUUAAAACUCAAAUGAAUUGACGGGGGCCCGCACAAGCGGUGGAGCAUGUGGUUUAAUUCGAUGCAACGCGAAGACCUUACCUGGUCUUGACACCUCCUGCGAACUUUCUAGAGAUAGAAUUGCGUGCCUUGCGGGAACGCAGAGAACAAGGUGCUGCAUGGCUGUUGUCAGCUCGUGUCGUGAGAUGUUGGGUUAAGUCCCGUAACGAGCGCAACCCUUGCCCUUAGUUGCCAUCAUUCAGUUGGGAACUCUAAGGGGACCGCCGGUGAUUAACCGGAGGAAGGUGGGGAUGACGUCAAGUCAUCAUGGCCCUUAUGACCAGGGCUACACACGUGCUACCAUGGUCGGUACAGAGGGUUGCUAUACCGCGAGGUGGAGCUCGACCCAUGAGUCGAAUGGUAGUCCGGAUUACGCUACGCACUACCCCGGGAAGUCG